UACGUAGGUGGCGAGCGUUGUCCGGAAUUAUUGGGCGUAAAGAGCUCGUAGGCGGCCUGUUGCGUCCGCUGUGAAAGCCCGGGGCUUAACCCCGGGUCGGCAGUGGAUACGGGCAGGCUAGAGGUAGGUAGGGGAGAAUGGAAUUCCCGGUGUAGCGGUGAAAUGCGCAGAUAUCGGGAGGAACACCGGUGGCGAAGGCGACUACCUGGCCUGUUCUUGACGCUGAGGCGCGAAAGCUAGGGGAGCAAACGGG
RNAcentral lists this ribosomal RNA (253 nucleotides) under uncultured bacterium. Its description in RNAcentral is "partial 16S ribosomal RNA". It matches the Rfam family "Bacterial small subunit ribosomal RNA", at positions 524 to 776 of the family's 1533-position model. The record is from RNAcentral.